RNAcentral lists this ribosomal RNA (481 nucleotides) under uncultured bacterium. RNAcentral's name for it is "bacterial SSU rRNA". It matches the Rfam family "Bacterial small subunit ribosomal RNA", at positions 28 to 507 of the family's 1533-position model. The record is from RNAcentral.
GAUGAACGCUAGCGGCAAGGCCUAACACAUGCAAGUCGAGGGGUAGAAUUAGCUUGCUAAUUUGAGACCGGCGCACGGGUGCGUAACGCGUAUGCAAUCUACCUUGUACAGGGGGAUAGCCCAGAGAAAUUUGGAUUAAUACCCCAUGGUAUAAUUAAUUUGCAUGAAUUGAUUAUUAAAGUUCCAACGGUACAAGAUGAGCAUGCGUCCCAUUAGCUAGUUGGUGUGGUAACGGCAUACCAAGGCGACGAUGGGUAGGGGUCCUGAGAGGGAGAUCCCCCACACUGGUACUGAGACACGGACCAGACUCCUACGGGAGGCAGCAGUGAGGAAUAUUGGUCAAUGGUCGGAAGACUGAACCAGCCAUGCCGCGUGCAGGAAGAAGCAUCUAUGGUGUGUAAACUGCUUUUGUACGGGAAGAAACACUCCUUCGUGAAGGAGCUUGACGGUACCGUAAGAAUAAGGAUCGGCUAACUCCGUG